GCAAUCUGAAGCUCGACCUAAGCUUUGUAGUUAUCAUCUACGGUCAAAUCGCCUUCGAAGUCAAGAUUUAACUCUCCAUCUUGUCUAGGAAAUCCUCUCUAUGUCGGAAGGUGAUGCGAGCUAAAUACAACUAACAAUCUACACGAAAGUGCACCUAUCGAAUGUAAUCUAGCUACGAAAAGUAUCAAUGUCGUAUCCCACAGGAACUGAGAAGCUACUGCUAC
Molecule: long non-coding RNA, 224 nt
Filed under: Ricinus communis (castor bean)
Lineage: Eukaryota; Viridiplantae; Streptophyta; Magnoliopsida; Malpighiales; Euphorbiaceae
Description: long non-coding RNA (RCOM_LNC002601)
Source: RNAcentral